UACGUAGGGGGCAAGCGUUAUCCGGAUUUACUGGGUGUAAAGGGAGCGUAGGCGGCCAUGCAAGUCAGAAGUGAAAGCCCGGGGCUCAACCCCGGGACUGCUUUUGAAACUGUAAGGCUAGAUUGCCGGAGAGGUAAGCGGAAUUCCUAGUGUAGCGGUGAAAUGCGUAGAUAUUAGGAGGAACACCAGUGGCGAAGGCGGCUUACUGGACGGUGAAUGACGCUGAGGCUCGAAAGCGUGGGGAGCAAACAGG
This 253-nucleotide ribosomal RNA is filed under the name Frisingicoccus caecimuris. RNAcentral's name for it is "partial 16S ribosomal RNA". It matches the Rfam family "Bacterial small subunit ribosomal RNA", at positions 524 to 776 of the family's 1533-position model. RNAcentral also lists the same sequence under 1 other name. The record is from RNAcentral. Lineage: Bacteria; Bacillati; Bacillota; Clostridia; Lachnospirales; Lachnospiraceae.